AUUGAACGCUGGCGGCAUGCUUUACACAUGCAAGUCGAACGGUAACAGGCCGCAAGGUGCUGACGAGUGGCGAACGGGUGAGUAAUGCAUCGGAACGUGCCCAGUCGUGGGGGAUAACUACUCGAAAGAGUAGCUAAUACCGCAUACGAUCUAUGGAUGAAAGCGGGGGACCGUAAGGCCUCGCGCGAUUGGAGCGGCCGAUGUCAGAUUAGGUAGUUGGUGGGGUAAAGGCUCACCAAGCCAACGAUCUGUAGCUGGUCUGAGAGGACGACCAGCCACACUGGGACUGAGACACGGCCCAGACUCCUACGGGAGGCAGCAGCGGGGAAUUUUGGACAAUGGGCGCAAGCCUGAUCCAGCAAUGCCGCGUGCAGGAAGAAGGCCUUCGGGUUGUAAACUGCUUUUGUACGGAACGAAACGGCUCUGGUUAAUACCCGGGGCUAAUGACGGUACCGUAAGAAUAAGCACCGGCUAACUACGUG
RNAcentral lists this ribosomal RNA (482 nucleotides) under uncultured bacterium. RNAcentral describes it as "partial 16S ribosomal RNA". It matches the Rfam family "Bacterial small subunit ribosomal RNA", at positions 30 to 507 of the family's 1533-position model. The record is from RNAcentral.